This 1439-nucleotide ribosomal RNA is filed under the name uncultured bacterium. RNAcentral's name for it is "bacterial SSU rRNA". It matches the Rfam family "Bacterial small subunit ribosomal RNA". The record is from RNAcentral.
AGAGUUUGAUCGUGGCUCACAACGAACGCUGGCGGCGCGCCUAACACAUGCAAGUCGAACGGAGUUAAUGUUGUAGCAAUACAGCAUUAACUUAGUGGCGAAAGGGUGAGUAACACGUAGGUAACCUACCCUCUGGAUGGGGAUACUCCCGGGAAACCGGGCUUAAUACCGAAUAUUGUCCAUAAGUGCAAUUCUUAUGGAUGAAAGUCUUGAGCAAUCAAGGCGCCAGAGGAUGGGCCUGCGGCCUAUCAGCUUGUUGGUGAGGUGAUGGCUCACCAAGGCUAAGACGGGUAGCCGAACUGAGAGGUUGGUCGGCCACACUGGGACUGAGACACGGCCCAGACUCCUACGGGAGGCAGCAGUGGGGAAUCUUGCGCAAUGGGCGAAAGCCUGACGCAGCGACGCCGCGUGGAGGAAGAAGGCCCUCGGGUUGUAAACUCCUUUCGUGAGGGAAAAAGUGCUGAGCAAUCAGCAUGAUGGUACCUCAAGAAGAAGCCACGGCUAACUCUGUGCCAGCAGCCGCGGUAAGACAGAGGUGGCAAGCGUUGUUCGGAUUUACUGGGCUUAAAGGGCGUGUAGGCGUCCUGAUAAGUCAGGUGUGGAAUCCCUGAGCUUAACUCAGGAAUUGCAUCUGAAACUGUCAGGACUGAGUCAUACAUGGGAGGGCGGAAUUCCUGGUGUAGCGGUGAAAUGCGUAGAUAUCAGGAGGAAGGCCGGUGGCGAAGGCGGCCCUCUGGGUAAUGACUGACGCUGAGGCGCGAAAGCGUGGGGAGCAAACAGGAUUAGAUACCCUGGUAGUCCACGCCCUAAACGGUGGGUACUCGGUGUGGGUGGCAAUAGCCAUCUGUGCCCAAGGGAAACCAUUAAGUACCUCGCCUGGGGAGUAUGACCGCAAGGUUGAAACUCAAAGGAAUUGACGGGGGCCCGCACAAGCGGUGGAGCAUGUGGUUUAAUUCGACGCUACGCGAAGAACCUUACCUGGGCUUGACAUGCUGGUAGUAAGAACCUGAAAGGGGGAUGAUCCUGGGGUAACUCAGGGAGCCAGCACAGGUGCUGCAUGGCUGUCGUCAGCUCGUGCCGUGAGGUGUUGGGUUAAGUCCCGCAACGAGCGCAACCCUCAUCCUCUGUUGGUCUUUUGACCUCUCUGAGGAAACUGCCAGCGAUAAGCUGGAGGAAGGUGAGGACGACGUCAAGUCAUCAUGGCCCUUACGCCCAGGGCUACACACGUGCUACAAUGGUAGGUACAAAGGGUUGCUAAUCCGUGAGGAGGAGCCAAUCCCAAAAAGCCUAUCCAAGUUGGGAUCGGAGUCUGCAACUCGACUCCGUGAACGCGGAAUCGCUAGUAAUCGUGGAUCAGCACGCCACGGUGAAUACGUUCCCGGGCCUUGUACACACCGCCCGUCACACCACGAAAGUCAGUUGUACCCGAAGUGGGUGAG